This is a long non-coding RNA of Sceloporus undulatus (fence lizard), 175 nucleotides long. RefSeq lists it as uncharacterized. The record is from RefSeq and is a predicted model, not a curated record. The transcript is spliced from 3 exons. NCBI's taxonomy places the organism in Eukaryota, Metazoa, Chordata, Lepidosauria, Squamata, Phrynosomatidae.
GUUCAGCAGAGCAGGAAUCAAAGAGACACGAGCCAGGAGAAAGCAUGUGACAAAAUCCAGCAGGCAAGAGAAGGCCCCAUUUCAGUAGUAAAUGGGUCUGGAGAACCUAACCUGGCAUUAGUAAAGAAAUAUAUCAGGAAAGAAAAAGAAAAAUGAAAAUUCAGGAUUGCUAGGA